This is a long non-coding RNA of Hyla sarda, 2821 nucleotides long. RefSeq lists it as uncharacterized. NCBI's taxonomy places the organism in Eukaryota, Metazoa, Chordata, Amphibia, Anura, Hylidae. The transcript is spliced from 3 exons. The record is from RefSeq and is a predicted model, not a curated record.
GAGAACAAAGGAAAGCGUCCGACCUCUACAGCUAUUAUCCCUAUUAUUGUUUUGUUUUGUUGCUGUCUUUGUUGUCAUUAUUACCAUUCUCAUUGCUUUCGUUUCUCAGCAGGUUUGUUUUCAUUUUUUUUUUUAUAUAUAUAGAGCACCAACAUACGCCGCAGUGCUGUACGUAGCAAAGCGAAAAGCAAAGAAGCAACACAAAACUGGUUAACACCUCCAAACAACAUGCACAGGGAAGAGAGAAUGAAGCAAAUGAGUCUGCAGAGAAGGAGUCGCCUUAUCUGUGUCACCUACAGGAAAAGCUGAGCAUUUCUCUGAAAAGAGUCCAGGGGUUCAACUCAGAGAAGGAACUAGAAUCAGAUCACAAAGUGAAAAACUACAAUGGAAGACUACCUAUUGAAUGGGUCAAAGAGCAAUAGACAGCAUUCCGAGCUCUUAAAGUCUGCUGACAGAACCCCCCAACUUGGCAUAUCCAGACUACAGUCAGCCAUUCCGGCUAUAUACUGAUGCUAGUUUGGUGGGUCUGGGAGCUGUCCUGUAACAAGUCAAAGAGGGGCAAGAGAGAGUGAUUGCCUACGCCACUCGUAACCUUCGUGAACCAGAAUGUUGUGACUGCCCUCAUGGACAGUGAACCCAGGUCCAAAAAGGUUAAAGAAGACCUAUACACCUGGAAGACUCUUCAAGACGAAAGUCAAGUCUUGGGGGAUCUGUUGGACUACCUUCCAAAAAAGGUAUCAACCCGUCUACGCCGGGCUCAUUGUGACUACGAGCUGAAACGCCUUUGGUGACAGAGGAUGCGACUGUUUGUGCACAAGGGACUGUUGUACCGAAGUUCUUUGGAUCCGGUCUCUGGUGAUCGACUUUAUCAGAUUCUGGUUCCCCGAAGAGACGCGGCGAUGGUCCUCAACGCAUACCAUGAUCAGUCGGGACACUUUGGAGUCCACAAGACCGAAGCUACUGUCAGGCGAAGAUUCUAUUGGUUCGGAAUGCGGAGCGACAUUGAGAAAUGGUGCAGUGAAUGUGCAGUUUGUAACGUCACUAAGGCUGCAUUCACAUCUAAUUUUUGCAAUACGGUUCCCGUCUCUGAUUUCAGUGAAAAAAAUGUAUGGAACCGUAUGUAUAGACAUUUCAUAGAAAACCGUAUGCCAACCGUAGCAUCCGACUGUGUACUUUUUGCAUCAUUUACGGUUUUAUCUGUUUUUUCCCGUAACAAAACCGUAGUCCACUACGGUUUUAAGUCUGAGUGAAAAACCGGAUACAACCCGUAUACGUUUAAAAAAAAAAAAAUGGUGGUCUAUGGAAACCGUACUGAACCGUAUGUGCAUACGGUUCCAUCCGGUUUGCACAAUACGGUUUUGCAGUUUGCACAUGCGCAGUGCAUGCCGAAAAUUCUUCCCACAAAUAGAAAAAGAAGAUCUUUAUUUAAUUAAGGACAAACAUAAAACCGUAUCCAUUUUUUUUCUCCAAAAAACGUAUUAAACUGUAUGCAACCGGACAUCCGUUUUCAAACCGUAUACGGUUUAAAAUCAAACAGAGCUAUAUACAGUUGUGCACGGUUGUAUACUGUUCGGUCCAGUUUUGAGACAUACAUUUUUUUACAAAAAACCUGAUACGGGAACUGUAUUGCAAAAACGAGAUGUGAAUGCAGCCUAAGAAUGUGCGCAAGGACGCAAUAGCACCCCUCCAUUCCAUCCAGAGUGAAAGGCCUAACCAGUUGGUCGCACUAGACCAUGUCAAGUUGUCUGCUACCCGGUCUGGGUACACUUGUGCUCUCACCAUGGUGGAUCACUACUUUAAGUGGGUUGUCAUUGUACCCCUUAAGGACCUCACAGCCAAGACAGCGGCCCAGAUGUUCUAUUCCAAUUGGAUGCAAACCCUUGGGUGUCCAGAGACUGUCCUGAUGGACCAUUGAACUGCCUUUGAGGCCCAACUCUUCCAAGAGCUGUGUCAAUUCAAUGCCUGUAAGAAAGUCCGGACUACUGCUUACCACCCCCAGGGGAACGGGCUCUGUGAGCACAUCAAUCAAGUCUUUAUCCACAUUUUGAGAGCAGCCUCUGUCUCCAGGUAUGAAGAGUGGCCUCCAGUUGCUGCCUGAACUUUUGGAGAUCUAUAAUAAUACAGUCCAUUAUUCUACGUGGUACACCCCAUUCUACUUGAUGAUGGGGCAGCUGCAUAAGGACCGAGCAUUUGGGUUCCAAGCCCCGUUUAACAACUCUCCGCAAGCCUCCCUGGAAUGGGUCUCUGACCACCAGAGAAGAAUCCAAGAAGCCAAAGAAAUUGUGGGCAAGAAGAUGGGCGAGGCUCAGCAAAGACAACAACAGGACUAUAGUCAUCAUGCCUCUGCCAAAGCACUUCAAUUGAGCGACAAAGUGUGGCUGCGGAAGUUUCCAUAACCCAUAAAUUAGACUCUAUCUGGGAGACAGAACCGUACACAAUGAUGGCCAUACGCGUAUCCAGAUUCUGAUGUGUACGAAGUACAAAAGCAUGGGUAUGAGCCACAAGUUGUUCACCGAAACCGGAUCAAGUUGUGUCUGAAAAAGGAUCUGCCAGUGAUCCCAGCACCAUCUCCUCCAGCCAUCAGACCUGCGAGAGAGUACGUCCCAGGCGAAGGGAUCCAUCAAUCUAUGGAUUUCCCCAUGUUUUCUCUGAGUCAGGGGGGCUAAUCCAACCAACACUAAUCUCCACACCAGUCCCGGUCUUGUCACCAUUGGCUCCAUAUGGCUUAUACCCCCGUCUCUAGAGUGCCGACCCUGUCACCAGUCUCUUCACCACUAUUGCCAGCAACUUUGAAUCCAACUAGUCCUGGACUAAUAAAAUG